RNAcentral lists this long non-coding RNA (1315 nucleotides) under Oryctolagus cuniculus (rabbit). RNAcentral's name for it is "lncRNA (ENSOCUG00000031092.1)". Lineage: Eukaryota; Metazoa; Chordata; Mammalia; Lagomorpha; Leporidae. The record is from RNAcentral.
GCUGGCCACCCCUCAGCCCAACCAGAGGACACCACGGCUGCACGCCCCCGGGCUCCUCGUGGGAACCUGCGUCCACGCUGUGCUCACAGGAACAAACCUGAGACCAGCACCAUCCUGAGAGCAGGCUCACGGCCACGGAAGCUGGGCCUCCUCACAUUCACAAAGCACAGUCCACGUGGACUGCACACCUCCUCACCAGGUGGGCUGCACACCUCCUCACCAGGUGGACUGCGCACCUCCUCACCAGGUGGACUGCGCACCUCCUCACCAGGUGGACUGUGCCCCCCUCCUCACCAAGUAGACUGCACACCUCCUCACCAGGUGGACUGUGCCCCCCUCCUCACCAGGUGGACUGCCCCCCUCCUCACCAGGUGGACUGUGCCCCCCUCCUCACCAGGUGGAGUGUGCCCCUCUCCUCACCAGGAGGACUGCACACCUCCUCACCAGCUCCUCUCCUCACCAGGUGGGCUGGUGGACUGCACACCUCCUCACCAGGUGGGCUGCCCCCCUCCUCACCAGGUGGCUGUGCCCGCCUCCUCACCAGGUGGCUGUGACUCCCCUCCUCACCAGGUGGCUGUGCCCCCCUCCUCACCAGGUGACUGUGCGCCCCUCCUCUCCUCACCCAGGUGGGCUGUGCCCCCCUCCCCACCAGGUGACUGUGUCCCCCUCCUCUCCUCACCAGGUGGCUGUGCCCCCCUCCUCACCAGGUGGCUGUGACCCCCCUCCUCACCAGGUGGACUGUGCCCCCCUCCUCACCAGGUGGGCUAUGCAGGGAGAGGCUCAGUGGGUUGCCAUGGGCAUGGGCUUUUCAGGUGUGAGUAACGGGCCUGCCCUGAGCUGCAAAUGGUGCCCUGGGCGUCGGAGAGGAUCCCAGAAUCCUGGGAACAAGAGAGACCUCAGACAAUCCUACAUCAACAGGGAGAGCACAGGGCCCAGCACCAGGGGCUGGUAAGGUCCUCGUCAUCUGCACGGAGAUGCUGAGGGGUGGCACUGGGGCACAGCCGUAAACCUGCCGCCCGCGCCCAUGGCAUCCCAUGGGGUGCCAGUUGGUGUCCCGGCUGCUCCACUUCUGAUCCAGCGCCUGGCUAAUGGCCUGGGAUAGCAGUGGAAAACAGCCCGAGUGCUUACAUCCCUGCCGCCCAUGAGGGGACCCAGAUGGAGUUUGAGGCUCCUAUCUUUGGCCUGGCCCAGCCCUGGCUGCUGUGGUCAUUUGGGUAGUGAGUCAGCAGAAGGAAGAUUCUCUCUCUAUCUCACUCUCACUGUCUCUCUCAAACAGACAAAUAAAUCUGAAAAACCCAGGGAAGCCCGCCUGGGA